UACGUAGGGGGCAAGCGUUGUUCGGAAUUACUGGGCGUAAAGGGCGCGUAGGCGGCACAGCAAGUCGGAAGUGAAAGCCCGGGGCUCAACCCCGGAAUGUCUUUCGAAACUGCUGAGCUAGAGUGCAGAAGAGGCAACUGGAAUUCCCAGUGUAGCGGUGAAAUGCGUAGAUAUUGGGAAGAACACCUGAGGCGAAGGCGGGUUGCUGGGCUGACACUGACGCUGAGGCGCGAAAGCCAGGGAGCAAACGGG
This 252-nucleotide ribosomal RNA is filed under the name uncultured bacterium. Its description in RNAcentral is "partial 16S ribosomal RNA". It matches the Rfam family "Bacterial small subunit ribosomal RNA", at positions 524 to 776 of the family's 1533-position model. The record is from RNAcentral.